RNAcentral lists this ribosomal RNA (870 nucleotides) under Agaricus cupressicola. RNAcentral describes it as "eukaryotic LSU rRNA". It matches the Rfam family "Eukaryotic large subunit ribosomal RNA", at positions 71 to 928 of the family's 3401-position model. The record is from RNAcentral. Lineage: Eukaryota; Fungi; Basidiomycota; Agaricomycetes; Agaricales; Agaricaceae.
AGGAUUCCCCUAGUAACUGCGAGUGAAGCGGGAAAAGCUCAAAUUUAAAAUCUGGCGGUCUCUGGCCGUCCGAGUUGUAAUCUAGAGAAGUAAUGCCCGUGCUGGACCGUGUAUAAGUCUCCUGGGAUGGAGCGUCAUAGAGGGUGAGAAUCCCGUCUUUGACACGGACUACCAGUGCAUUGUGGUAUGCUCUCAAAGAGUCGAGUUGUUUGGGAAUGCAGCUCAAAAUGGGUGGUAAAUUCCAUCUAAAGCUAAAUAUUGGCGAGAGACCGAUAGCGAACAAGUACCGUGAGGGAAAGAUGAAAAGAACUUUGGAAAGAGAGUUAAACAGUACGUGAAAUUGCUGAAAGGGAAACGCUUGAAGUCAGUCGCGUUGGCCAGGGAUCAGCCUUGCUUUUGCAUGGUGUACUUUCUGGUUGACGGGUCAGCAUCAAUUUUGACCGCUGGAAAAGGGCCUGGGGAAUGUGGCAGCUUCGGCUGUGUUAUAGCCCCUGGUCGCAUGCAGUGGUUGGGAUUGAGGAACUCAGCACGCCGCAAGGCCGGGUUUCGACCACGUUCGUGCUUAGGAUGCUGGCAUAAUGGCUUUAAGCGACCCGUCUUGAAACACGGACCAAGGAGUCUAACAUGCCUGCGAGUAUUUGGGUGGAAAACCCGAGUGCGUAAUGAAAGUGAAAGUUGAGAUCCCUGUCGUGGGGAGCAUCGACGCCCGGACCAGAACUUUUGGGACGGAUCCGCGGUGGAGCAUGUAUGUUGGGACCCGAAAGAUGGUGAACUAUGCCUGAAUAGGGUGAAGCCAGAGGAAACUCUGGUGGAGGCUCGUAGCGAUUCUGACGUGCAAAUCGAUCGUCAAAUUUGGGUAUAGGGGCGAAA